CAGUAGCCACGGGAAUACGAAGGGGGCUAGCGUUGUUCGGAAUCACUGGGCGUAAAGCGCACGCAGGCGGUCUGACAAGUCAGAUGUGAAAUCCCCGGGCUUAACCUGGGAACUGCAUUUGAAACUGUCAGGCUGGAGUCUUGUAGAGGGGGGUAGAAUUCCAGGUGUAGCGGUGAAAUGCGUAGAGAUCUGGAGGAAUACCGGUGGCGAAGGCGGCCCCCUGGACAAAGACUGACGCUCAGGUGCGAAAGCGUGGGGAGCAAACAGGAUUAGAUACCCCGGUAGUCCCUGUCUCUUAUAC
RNAcentral lists this ribosomal RNA (301 nucleotides) under uncultured bacterium. Its description in RNAcentral is "partial 16S ribosomal RNA". It matches the Rfam family "Bacterial small subunit ribosomal RNA", at positions 509 to 807 of the family's 1533-position model. The record is from RNAcentral.